This 303-nucleotide ribosomal RNA is filed under the name uncultured bacterium. RNAcentral describes it as "partial 16S ribosomal RNA". It matches the Rfam family "Bacterial small subunit ribosomal RNA", at positions 507 to 808 of the family's 1533-position model. The record is from RNAcentral.
AGCAGUCGCCGCGGGAAUACGUAGGUCCCGAGCAUUGUCCGGAUUUAUUGGGCGUAAAGCGAGCGCAGGCGGUUAGAUAAGUCUGAAGUUAAAGGCUGUGGCUUAACCAUAGUACGCCUUGGAAACUGUUUAACUUGAGUGCAAGAGGGGAGAGUGGAAUUCCAUGUGUAGCGGUGAAAUGCGUAGAUAUAUGGAGGAACACCGGUGGCGAAAGCGGCUCUCUGGCUUGUAACUGACGCUGAGGCUCGAAAGCGUGGGGAGCAAACAGGAUUAGAUACCCGUGUAGUCCCUGUCUCUUAUACA